GAUGAACGCUGGCGGCGUGCCUAAUACAUGCAAGUCGAGCGAACAGACGAGGAGCUUGCUCCUCUGACGUUAGCGGCGGACGGGUGAGUAACACGUGGAUAACCUACCUAUAAGACUGGGAUAACUUCGGGACACCGGAGCUAACACCGGAUAAUAUAUUGAACCGCAUGGUUCAAUAGUGAAAGACGGUUUUGCUGUCACUUAUAGAUGGAUCCGCGCCGCAUUAGCUAGUUGGUAAGGUAACGGCUUACCAAGGCAACGAUGCGUAGCCGACCUGAGAGGGUGAUCGGCCACACGGGAACGGAGACACGGUCCAGACUCCUACGGGAGGCAGCAGUAGGGAAUCUUCGGCAAUGGGCGAAAGCCUGACGGAGCAACGCCGCGUGAGUGAUGAAGGUCUUCGGAUCGUAAAGCUCUGUUAUUAGGGAAGAACAAAUGUGUAAGUAACUAUGCACGUCUUGACGGUACCUAAUCAGAAAGCCACGGCUAACUACGUG
Molecule: ribosomal RNA, 497 nt
Filed under: uncultured bacterium
Lineage: Bacteria
Description: partial 16S ribosomal RNA
Rfam family: Bacterial small subunit ribosomal RNA
Source: RNAcentral